UACAGAGGUCUCAAGCGUUGUUCGGAUUCCUUGGGCGUAAAGGGUGCGUAGGGGGCGCGGUAAGUCGGGUGUGAAAUCUUGGAGCUUAACUCCGAAACUGCAUUCGAUACUGCCGUGCUUGAGGACUGGAGAGGAGACUGGAAUUUACGGUGUAGCGGUGAAAUGCGUAGAUAUCGUAAGGAAGACCAGUGGCGAAGGCGGGUCUCUGGACAGUUCCUGACGCUGAGGCACGAAGGCCAGGGGAGCAAACGGG
This 253-nucleotide ribosomal RNA is filed under the name uncultured bacterium. RNAcentral describes it as "partial 16S ribosomal RNA". It matches the Rfam family "Bacterial small subunit ribosomal RNA", at positions 524 to 776 of the family's 1533-position model. The record is from RNAcentral.